GUUCACCUACGGGGGGCAGCAGUCGGGAAUAUUGCACAAUGGAGGAAACUCUGAUGCAGUGACACCGCGUAUAGGAAGAAGGUUUUCGGAUUGUAAACUAUUUUAGACAGGGAAGAAAAAAGACAGUACCUGUAGAAUAAGCUCCGGCUAACUACGUGCCUGCAGCCGCGGUAAUACGUAGGGAGCAAGCGUUAUCCGGAAUUAUUGGGUGUAGAGGGGGCGCAGACGGCGAUGCAAGCCAGGAGUGAAAGCCCGGGGCCCAACCCCUGGACUGCUCUUGGAACUGCGUGGCUAGAGUGCAGGAG
RNAcentral lists this ribosomal RNA (305 nucleotides) under uncultured bacterium. RNAcentral describes it as "bacterial SSU rRNA". It matches the Rfam family "Bacterial small subunit ribosomal RNA", at positions 333 to 654 of the family's 1533-position model. The record is from RNAcentral.